CCGAAUGGGGCAACCCGGCAUGCUGAAGGCAUGUCACCUAGUCAAUAGGGGUAAACCCGGUGAACUGAACCAUCUAAGUAACCGGAGGAAGAGAAACCAAAAGUGAUUCCGUUAGUAGUGGCGAGCGAACGCGGAUUAGCCCAAACCAGUGUUGUUACGCCAAUUCUGGGGUUGUAGGCCCCCGAUAUUCGAAGUUAAGUGAAUUAGAAUCUGUCUUGGAAAGUACAGACCAUAGAGGGUGAUAGUCCCGUAUAAGUAAGCGAAGAUUAGAUAGUGGUAUCCUGAGUAGUGCGGGACACGAGUAAUCCUUGUAUGAAUCCACCGGGACCAUCCGGUAAGGCUAA
RNAcentral lists this ribosomal RNA (344 nucleotides) under uncultured bacterium. RNAcentral describes it as "bacterial LSU rRNA". It matches the Rfam family "Bacterial large subunit ribosomal RNA", at positions 114 to 469 of the family's 2925-position model. The record is from RNAcentral.